CCUACGGGUGGCAGCAGUGAGGAAUAUUGGUCAAUGGGCGAGAGCCUGAACCAGCCAAGUCGCGUGAAGGAUGACGGCCCUACGGGUUGUAAACUUCUUUUGUCAGGGAGCAAUUGGGUCCACGCGUGGGCUUAGCGAGAGUACCUGAAGAAAAAGCAUCGGCUAACUCCGUGCCAGCAGCCGCGGUAAUACGGAGGAUGCGAGCGUUAUCCGGAUUUUUUGGGUUUAAAGGGUGCGUAGGCGGAAUAUCAAGUAAGCGGUAAAAAUUGGGGUCUCAACCCCGGCGAGCCGUUGAAAAUGAUGUUCAUGAGUGGGCGAGAAGUAUGCGGAAGGAGUGGUGUAGCGGUGAAAUGCAGAG
This 358-nucleotide ribosomal RNA is filed under the name uncultured bacterium. Its description in RNAcentral is "partial 16S ribosomal RNA". It matches the Rfam family "Bacterial small subunit ribosomal RNA", at positions 338 to 693 of the family's 1533-position model. The record is from RNAcentral.